This 506-nucleotide ribosomal RNA is filed under the name uncultured bacterium. RNAcentral's name for it is "partial 16S ribosomal RNA". It matches the Rfam family "Bacterial small subunit ribosomal RNA", at positions 29 to 523 of the family's 1533-position model. The record is from RNAcentral.
AGUGAACGCUGGCGGUAGGCCUAACACAUGCAAGUCGAACGGCAGCACAGAGGAGCUUGCUCCUUGGGUGGCGAGUGGCGGACGGGUGAGGAAUACAUCGGAAUCUACUCUGUCGUGGGGGAUAACGUAGGGAAACUUACGCUAAUACCGCAUACGACCUACGGGGGAAAGCAGGGGACCUCCGGUCCUUGCGCGAUUGAAUGAGCCGAUGUCGGAUUAGCUAGUUGGCGGGGUAAAGGCCCACCAAGGCGACGAUCCGUAGCUGGUCUGAGAGGAUGAUCAGCCACACUGGAACUGAGACACGGUCCAGACUCCUACGGGAGGCAGCAGUGGGGAAUAUUGGACAAUGGGCGCAAGCCUGAUCCAGCCAUACCGCGUGGGUGAAGAAGGCCUUCGGGUUGUAAAGCCCUUUUGUUGGGAAAGAAAUCCAGCUGGCUAAUACCCGGUUGGGAUGACGGUACCCAAAGAAUAAGCACCGGCUAACUUCGUGCCAGCCGCCGCGGUAA